ACGUAGGAGGCGAGCGUUGUCCGGAAUUACUGGGCGUAAAGCGCGCGUAGGCGGUCUUUUGCGUAGGCGGUGAAAGCCCCAGGCUCACCUUGGGGAGGUCCGUCUAAACGGGGAGACUUGAGGGCGGUAGGGGUUGGCGGAACGCCCGGAGUAGCGGUGAAAUGCGUUGAGAUCGGGCAGAACACCAGUGGCGAAGGCGGCCGACUGGGCCGUCCCUGACGCUGAGGCGCGAAAGCCAGGGGAGCGAACGGAAUUAGAUACUCCGGUAGUCCUGGCCCUAAACGAUGGCAACUAGGUGUGGGGGGUAUCGACCCCUUCCGUGCCGUAGCACACGCGAUAAGUUGCCCGCCUGGGGAGUACGGCCGCAAGGCUA
RNAcentral lists this ribosomal RNA (373 nucleotides) under uncultured bacterium. RNAcentral describes it as "bacterial SSU rRNA". It matches the Rfam family "Bacterial small subunit ribosomal RNA", at positions 525 to 896 of the family's 1533-position model. The record is from RNAcentral.